This 506-nucleotide ribosomal RNA is filed under the name uncultured bacterium. Its description in RNAcentral is "partial 16S ribosomal RNA". It matches the Rfam family "Bacterial small subunit ribosomal RNA", at positions 29 to 523 of the family's 1533-position model. The record is from RNAcentral.
AGUGAACGCUGGCGGUAGGCCUAACACAUGCAAGUCGAACGGCAGCACAGGAGAGCUUGCUCUCUGGGUGGCGAGUGGCGGACGGGUGAGGAAUACAUCGGAAUCUACUUUUUCGUGGGGGAUAACGUAGGGAAACUUACGCUAAUACCGCAUACGACCUACGGGUGAAAGCAGGGGACCUUCGGGCCUUGCGCGAUUGAAUGAGCCGAUGUCGGAUUAGCUAGUUGGCGGGGUAAAGGCCCACCAAGGCGACGAUCCGUAGCUGGUCUGAGAGGAUGAUCAGCCACACUGGAACUGAGACACGGUCCAGACUCCUACGGGAGGCAGCAGUGGGGAAUAUUGGACAAUGGGCGCAAGCCUGAUCCAGCCAUACCGCGUGGGUGAAGAAGGCCUUCGGGUUGUAAAGCCCUUUUGUUGGGAAAGAAAUCCAGCUGGCUAAUACCCUGGGGUCAUGACGGUACCGUAAGAAUAAGCACCGGCUAACUACGUGCCAGCCGCCGCAGUAA